GCUUGCUUAAAGGGGCCGUAGCAGGUUUUGUAAAUUUCUUGUGAAACUGCCAGGCUUAACUUGGCAAUGUGCAGGAAACACUGCAAGACUUGAGACAGGGAAGGGUCAGAGGUAUUCCUGAGGGAGCGGUAAAAUGCUAUAAUCUCAGGAGGACCACCGGUGGCGAAGGCGUCUGACUAGAACUGAUCUGACUGUGAGGGACGAAAGCUAGGGGAGCAAACCGGAUUAGAUACCCGAGUAGUCCUAGCUGUAAACGCUGUGAGCUAGGUGUCGCGCAUUCUACGGGAAUGCGCGGUGUCGUAAAGAAGUUACUAAGCUCACCGCCUGGGAAGUACGGUCGCAAGACUGAAACUUUAAGGAAUUGGCGGGGGCGCACCACAAGGGGUGCGGCGUGCGGUUUAAUCUAACUCAACACAGAGAACCUUACUAGGGGCGACGGCAAGAUGAAGGUCAUGCUGAAGACAUUACUCGAUGAGCCGAGAGGUGGUGCAUGGCCGUCGCCAGCUCGUGCUAUGAAGUGUCCAGUUAAGUCUGGCAACGAGCGAGACCUGUAUCUGCAAUUGCUAACGGCAUUACGGUGGACCGAGCACAUUGCAGGGACUGCCUUGGAAACAAGGAGGAAGGUGCAGGCUACGGUAGGUCCGCAUGCCCCGAAAAGCCGAAUUCCAGCAACCUGGG
Molecule: ribosomal RNA, 678 nt
Filed under: uncultured archaeon
Lineage: Archaea
Description: bacterial SSU rRNA
Rfam family: Archaeal small subunit ribosomal RNA
Source: RNAcentral